RNAcentral lists this ribosomal RNA (255 nucleotides) under uncultured bacterium. RNAcentral describes it as "partial 16S ribosomal RNA". It matches the Rfam family "Bacterial small subunit ribosomal RNA", at positions 524 to 782 of the family's 1533-position model. The record is from RNAcentral.
UACGGAGGGUGCGAGCGUUAAUCGGAAUUACUGGGCGUAAAGCGCACGCAGGCGGCUUGUUAAGCUAGAGGUGAAAGCCCCGCGCUCAACGUGGGAACUGCCUUUAGAACUGGCAGGCUAGAGUCUUGGAGAGGGGAGUGGAAUUCCAGGUGUAGCGGUGAAAUGCGUAGAUAUCUGGAGAACAUCAGUGGCGAAGGCGGCUCCCUGGCCAAAGACUGACGCUAGUGCGAAAGUGUGGGAGCAAACAGGAUUGAG